This 497-nucleotide ribosomal RNA is filed under the name uncultured bacterium. RNAcentral describes it as "partial 16S ribosomal RNA". It matches the Rfam family "Bacterial small subunit ribosomal RNA", at positions 28 to 507 of the family's 1533-position model. The record is from RNAcentral.
GAUGAACGCUGGCGGCGUGCCUAAUACAUGCAAGUCGAGCGAACAGACGAAGAGCUUGCUCCUCUGACGUUAGCGGCGGACGGGUGUGUAACACGUGGAUAACCUACCUAUAAGACUGGGAUAACUUCGGGAAACCGGAGCUAAUACCGGAUAAUAUAUUGAACCGCAUGGUUCAAUAGUGAAAGACGGUUUUGCUGUCACUUAUAGAUGGAUCCGCGCCGCAUUAGCUAGUUGGUAAGGUAACGGCUUACCAAGGCGACGAUGCGUAGCCGACCUGAGAGGGUGAUCGGCCACACUGGAACUGAGACACGGUCCAGACUCCUACGGGAGGCAGCAGUAGGGAAUCUUCCGCAAUGGGCGAAAGCCUGACGGAGCAACGCCGCGUGAGUGAUGAAGGUCUUCGGAUCGUAAAACUCUGUUAUUAGGGAAGAACAAAUGUGUAAGUAACUAUGCACGUCUUGACGGUACCUAAUCAGAAAGCCACGGCUAACUACGUG